AUAAUUGUUUCUAUUUUCAUUGUGCAGGAAAAUGACAACAUAUUUAUACAAUCGCAAGGAAGCCCUAGAUGUUACGUAUAACAACUAUUUACAAUUUAUAUACAAAAAAAUAGCUUGCUUGAGGCUAGAGUGAAGUUUCUCAACCUAUAAUUUGCCAAUUGAGAUAAUGAUCCCUACGAGCUGCAUUUGAAUUGAAAAGCUAUGAAUUCUCACACAAAAUUUGUGAUCACGUGACAUAACACAUUAGUGUAUGCAUAUCGAAUAAAGACAAUUUCUUAAACGUAAUCAUACUCGAUACAAUGUUAUUUUUGUUCAUUACAAGUUAGUAUUAGUCAAAGCCAACAACACACAUUCUCAGUC
This 360-nucleotide long non-coding RNA is filed under the name Solanum tuberosum (potato). Its description in RNAcentral is "long non-coding RNA (STUB_LNC005345)". Lineage: Eukaryota; Viridiplantae; Streptophyta; Magnoliopsida; Solanales; Solanaceae. The record is from RNAcentral.